This 320-nucleotide ribosomal RNA is filed under the name bacterium b2cb8. RNAcentral describes it as "bacterial SSU rRNA". It matches the Rfam family "Bacterial small subunit ribosomal RNA", at positions 852 to 1172 of the family's 1533-position model. The record is from RNAcentral.
CUAACGCAUUAAAUAGACCGCCUGGGGAGUACGGCCGCAAGGUUAAAACUCAAAUGAAUUGACGGGGGCCCGCACAAGCGGUGGAGCAUGUGGUUUAAUUCGAUGCAACGCGAAGAACCUUACCUACUCUUGACAUCCAGCGAACUUGGUAGAGAUACCUUGGUGCCUUCGGGAACGCUGAGACAGGUGCUGCAUGGCUGUCGUCAGCUCGUGUUGUGAAAUGUUGGGUUAAGUCCCGCAACGAGCGCAACCCUUGUCCUAUGUUGCCAGCACUUCGGGUGGGAACUCAUGGGAGACUGCCGGUGAUAAACCGGAGGAAG